CUAGAAAAUGAAGGUAAAUCAUACAUCUUAUCCCAUCAACAGGUGAAGUUUUUGAGUGAGUCAUACAUCNUAUAAUAAUUUAAAUUUUUAAAUCACAAAUUACAAUAAAUUAGUUUGAAAACAAAAAUGUUAGGUGUCUUGUAGUUUAAGGAUGGAAAGCAUAAUUUAGCUUUUUCUUUAUCAAUAUUAUUCACUACACUAGAAAAUGAAGGUAAAUCAUACAUCUUAUCCCAUCAACAGGUGAAGUUUUUGAGUGAGUCAUACAUCUUAUCCCAUCAACAGGUGAAGUUUUUCGGUGAGGAGUACAAGUAUCAAUUUUGUGAUAUUUGUAUAGUUUUUUAUUUUAAUUUCUAUUUGUCUUUUUUAUUUUGGUUGCCUUUUAUGUUUUCUAAGACCGCGUUGUCUCAAGCACUAUAGCUAAAUUUAUCUGAUAAAUAAAUAAAGUGGGUAGCAUGCUAUUUUUCUCUUAAAAAAAAAAAAAAAGUGAAGUUUUUCUAUUCAUUAUCUCAAUAUAGCGGAAAAAAUCAUUCUACUCAUAAAAUGGAUAUAUGAUAUAUACCU
This 561-nucleotide long non-coding RNA is filed under the name Ananas comosus (pineapple). RNAcentral describes it as "long non-coding RNA (ACOM_LNC008181)". The record is from RNAcentral. Lineage: Eukaryota; Viridiplantae; Streptophyta; Magnoliopsida; Poales; Bromeliaceae.